Molecule: ribosomal RNA, 500 nt
Filed under: uncultured bacterium
Lineage: Bacteria
Description: partial 16S ribosomal RNA
Rfam family: Bacterial small subunit ribosomal RNA
Source: RNAcentral
AUUGAACGCUGGCGGCGUGCUUAACACAUGCAAGUCGAUCGGUAACGCGGGGGCAACCCUGGCGACGAGAGGCGGACGGGUGAGGAACGCUUGGGAAUCUGCCUAUCAGCGGGGGACAACACGGGGAAACUCGUGCUAAUACCGCAUACGCUCUACGGAGGAAAGCCGGGGACCGCAAGGCCUGGCACUGAUAGAUGAGCCCAAGCCGGAUUAGCUAGUUGGCGGGGUAACGGCCCACCAAGGCGACGAUCCGUAGCUGGUCUGAGAGGACGAUCAGCCACACUGGGACUGAGACACGGCCCAGACUCCUACGGGAGGCAGCAGUGGGGAAUAUUGGACAAUGGGGGAAACCCUGAUCCAGCGACGCCGCGUGGGUGAAGAAGGCCUGCGGGUUGUAAAGCCCUUUCGGUAGGGACGAAAGCUCUCGACCUAACACGUCGGGGGGUUGACUUAACCUACAAAAGAAGCACCGGCUAACUCUGUGCCAGCAGCCGCGGUAA